CAUGACUUGAGUGGAACACCAUCUGAUUUGGACACGCAUGAUGUGCUACAGGUGCGUGUAAAAUCAGUGUGUAUCCCACUCCUUGCCAUG
Gallus gallus (chicken) is the source of this 90-nucleotide microRNA precursor. The record is from Ensembl. Lineage: Eukaryota; Metazoa; Chordata; Aves; Galliformes; Phasianidae.